GCUUAACACAUGCAAGUCGAGCGAGAAUCGUUUUGCUGAAGGCUUCGGUCCGAUGCAGAAUGAGGAAAGCGGCGAACGGGUGAGUAACGCGUGGGCAACCUGGCCUUAAGAAAAGGAUAGCCCCCGGAAACGGGGAGUAAUACUUUAUGAGAAUAGAAAAGGGCAUCCUGUUUCUAUUCAAAGCGCAAGCGCUUAAGGAUGGGCCCGCGUAUCAUUAGCUAGUUGGUGAGAUAACAGCCCACCAAGGCAACGAUGAUUAGCCGGUCUGAGAGGGCGAACGGCCACAUUGGAACUGAGAGAAGGUCCAAACUCCUACGGGAGGCAGCAGUGGGGAAUAUUGCGCAAUGGAGAAGAACUCUGACGCAGCAAUACCGCGUGAGCGAAGAAGGUCUUCGGAUCGUAAAGCUCUGUUAUCAGGGAAGAAGAAAAUGACGGUACCUGAUGAGCAAGUCCCGGCUAACUACGUGCCAGCAGCCGCGGUAA
Molecule: ribosomal RNA, 483 nt
Filed under: uncultured bacterium
Lineage: Bacteria
Description: partial 16S ribosomal RNA
Rfam family: Bacterial small subunit ribosomal RNA
Source: RNAcentral